This 324-nucleotide ribosomal RNA is filed under the name uncultured eukaryote. RNAcentral describes it as "partial 18S ribosomal RNA". It matches the Rfam family "Eukaryotic small subunit ribosomal RNA", at positions 1470 to 1796 of the family's 1831-position model. The record is from RNAcentral.
CCCUUAGAUGUUCUGGGCCGCACGCGCGCUACACUGAUGCAUUCAACGAGUUUCUUCCUGGUCCGAGAGGAAUGGGUAACCUUUUGAAAGUGCAUCGUGAUAGGGAUAGACUAUUGCAAUUAUUGGUCUUCAACGAGGAAUUCCUAGUAGACGUAGUUCAUCAGACUGCAUCGAUUACGUCCCUGCCCUUUGGACACACCGCCCGUCGCUCCUACCGAUUGAAUGCUCAGGUGAGCCAUUCGGACUUUCAUCAUGCUGGUUUCCAGUUUUGAUGAAGGAAAGUCUUGCGAACCUUAUCAUUUAGAGGAAGGAGAAGUCGUAACA